Molecule: ribosomal RNA, 253 nt
Filed under: uncultured bacterium
Lineage: Bacteria
Description: partial 16S ribosomal RNA
Rfam family: Archaeal small subunit ribosomal RNA
Source: RNAcentral
UACCUGCAGCCCGAGUGGUGGCCGUUAUUAUUGGGCCUAAAACGUCCGUAGCCGGCUGAGUAGAUGCCUGUGUAAAUCGAACGGCUUAACCGUUCGAACUGCGGGUAGACCGCUCAGCUUGGGACCGGGAGAGUCACGAAGUACUCCGGGGGUAGAGGUGAAAUUCUGUAAUCCUCGGGGGACUACCGGUGGCGAAGGCGGUUCUCUGGGCCUGACCUGACGCUGAGGAGCGAAAGCGUGGGGAGCGAACAGG